GUGGGGAAUCUUCCGCAAUGGACGAAAGUCUGACGGAGCGACGCCGCGUGAGUGAAGAAGGCCUUCGGGUCGUAAAGCUCUGUCAUCAGGGACGAACGGCCGGUGGAGUGGAAAGCCACCGGAUUGACGGUACCUGAGAAGGAAGCCACGGCUAACUACGUGCCAGCAGCCGCGGUAAUACGUAGGUGGCAAGCGUUGUCCGGAAUUAUUGGGCGUAAAGCGCGCGCAGGUGGGAUCUUAAGUCCAUUUUGAAAGUUCGGAGCUCAACUCCGUGAUGGGAUGGAAACUGGGAUUCUUGAGUACCGGAGAGGAAGGCGGAAUUCCCCGUGUAGCGGUGAAAUGCGUAGAUAUGGGGAGGAACACCAGUGGCGAAGGCGGGUUCCUGGCCCAUGACUGACGCUGAGGUGCGAAAGCCGGGGGAGCGAACGGGAUUAGAUACCCCGGUAGUCC
This 450-nucleotide ribosomal RNA is filed under the name uncultured bacterium. Its description in RNAcentral is "partial 16S ribosomal RNA". It matches the Rfam family "Bacterial small subunit ribosomal RNA", at positions 354 to 796 of the family's 1533-position model. The record is from RNAcentral.